This is a long non-coding RNA of Sitophilus oryzae (rice weevil), 927 nucleotides long. RefSeq lists it as uncharacterized. The transcript has 3 exons. NCBI's taxonomy places the organism in Eukaryota, Metazoa, Arthropoda, Insecta, Coleoptera, Curculionidae. The record is from RefSeq and is a predicted model, not a curated record.
GGGGAACUGUUUACAUUUUAUGCGAAUGCCAACAUCCUAUUGUUAUUGUUUGUUAUGUUGCCAAGUCUACCGAAGAUUUGUCAAAGCCUUUGUUUAUUUUUAAUUUUGUAUACGUAUACUUUGGGGAAAUCUUAAGAAAAUAAUAAUAUAAUUAGCUUACUACAUUUGAAAAUUUCGAUAUUUAUAAUUUUAUUUAGUACUUAAUAAGAUUCAAGUCAAAGAUUACAAGAAAUAUUUGUAAAUUUCGUCAUUUUUACAUCAACCGUUAUGAUUAAUUUUUAAUCUGGCAAUGCCGCUCUGUUGUUAUAGUAUUUUCUAUAGUAGGGGAAUUGGACCAAUUGGACGUGGUCAACAGUGUUAAUAAACAGCUGAUUGGCAAGAUCAGCUUUUAUUUUUCCAUAUUUCUUAACUAUUAAUAAACUAUUAGUGUAUAAUUGUUUCAUUUUAUAUAAAGGACUAAAAUUAGCAUUUAAAAUGGGUCUACACUGGGAAAUAUGUAAGAAUUAAAGAAUUUAAACAUCGUGAAGUGUCAUUUCAAAAAUUUCUAAAAGAUAGUGAGAGAAAAAUUAAAUGGUUUUCCCUGUUAAGAUUUAUUCAUAGCAUGAUAUUAAAAAGUCGAGCAAAAGAGAGCUCAAAAACAGCUGAUUGUAAGGAAUUGAAGAAAAUAUUUAAAAACUGAUGAAUUUUCACAGCCAUUUAUGUCGCGAUUUAUGGUGUUUCAACUGUUUUAACAUCACCUAGGAAAUUAACAUUAAGACUGCAUUAAGAUAUUAGGAUCCUGCAGAUAACUAGAUAAGAAGUAUGAUCUUGUUAGCAUACCUAUUCCGUCAUAAUAUGAAGUGAAGAUAUUCAUGGUGUGGAAGUUGUUACUUUAAUUACAUAGUGCAUAUGAAAUUGGUCCUUUACAUCACAUUUAAAAUCGACGUA